GAAAUUCUUUCAAUGGGAAGAAGAGAGAGAGAGAGGAAAAAGCCCUAAAUUUGGAGACAGCGAUGAUUUGUGCUUAUGUGUCGAUUUUGUUGGAGGUGAAGAAGAGAAAUGUAUACGCGUAUAAGCUCUUUGUCUGAAAAUGACUUCCCUUGACUUAUUAGGGAAGUCAUUUUCCCUCAAAAUAAGGAAAAUAAGUGACUUUGAAAAAUAUUUUCUAAAUACUUUUUUACAACUAAAUAAAAGAAAAUGAGAAAAUAUUUUCUAGAAAAUAUUUUCCAUCAUACCAAACACAUGUGGGCUGACUUGGGCCAGCAGAAAGAUUGCAAGUUGGCCUAAUUGUUCCCUUUAUUAAGUGCCCAAUGAAUUAAGAUACCACUAAAUUGGUGGAUUAUCACGCUUUUAUAGUUAUGAUGAAAAUGGCACUUUUUUCUGCAAGUUCCUUCCUACUUCUAGCAAACAGACAGAGAUACAAAUUGCAUUCAUCAAAGCAUAAUUCCAGGGACAUUUUAGUCUUUUCCUGCUCCAUCCAAGGGAUAUUAGAGUCUUUCAAUUUGGAUAGUCUUCGUGGUAUUUCGACAACAUUAUAUGUGCCUACAUUGUUUUAUAUACACAGCAGCUUACAUUGUUUUCCUGGCAUCUUUUGGGCUCUUCUUCUCUGUUUCCAACAACUGCUUUCUUUCGCAACUUCUGGCCUCUACUUUUCCAUUUCCAGCUUUAGUUAAUUGUAGCGCCAUACAAUAUACAACUGACCAAAGCAAGCACUUCCGGGACAUCAUCAUUAUAGACUAGAGCAAGAAACCUUUCCUAUUUACUAUAUGGGGUGAUCUAUCCAACAACGAAGGAACUGCAUUACUACACCAUCUACAUGAGUAUCCUGUCAUUCUUGCCAGGUGUAUAGGGGUUACUGAAUUUCGUGGUGGUAUAUUCAUCAGCCCAUCUUCUGCGACUCUUCUUUUUACUUUUUCCUUCUCUAUAUUGAAUUAAAAAUGCUUCUUGUCCUUCACAUACACAGCUCUAAGACUAGCAACAAGAUAUCAGUCUACAAUCUUAACAAAUCCUCUGUACGUGCAUUCUACUAUACUGGCAAACUGGUAUACACUAACAUGCACCCUUUUCGUAGGACUAUGCUAAAACAUAUUUUUACUAUUUCAUCUAACCUUUUCUAGGGUGAAGUACAAUGAACGAAUGUUGGUGUCUUACACUUUAAUAAGCUCAUCAUCAUCAUUAUCUUUAAAUCUUGCACCAAUUGAAGGUGCUAUCUAUAUCCACCAUUCCAGAGUUUUUAUCUACGGUUAGUUUAUCCCAUAACAUAUACAUGCACUAAUUAUUUUCAUAUGCAACUAAGCCCGUAUCGAAAAGUACAAGUUGUAAGCUCGAAGAAGUUUAUAACAUUUUUUACAUUAAUACUGCAGGUACAAAGUUUCCCUGUGGAAGCCAGAUUAUUACUCCCUGACCAUCCUCAAUCAUUUUAUCUGCUCGCAUGCUCAAAUUGCAGUCACUUUGUGCGCCCAAAAAUCAAAAUAAUGGUUCGAUGCUUCAGCUGUAAACUAGAAUAGUAAUUAUUUCCUAGGUAACCACUGCAACUACGACAUUACAUACACACUCUAUUAUGCACUUUGUUUUUCCUGCCUUCUAUGGUAAAACUUGAAAAAGUGUGUGUGUUUUUCUGUUUUCUGCAUUUUUGAAUUUUGUUUCUACUGAUCUCAUAGAAGGGCAGCUUAGCACUUUUUUAGGAAUAGCCUCUUUAUCUUGACGCAAUAGAGGUAAAUUUUACGUACAUUCUAUAAUUCGGAAAAAUUGAUUGAGCUAGUUAUGUUGUUGUCGAUCUAAAAGGAGGAUACUUGAUCAGUUUUCACAAACAACCUUUUCAUGUCAACAAGAUAGAGUUUGACCUGAUUAUAUUUUUGUUGAUAAUCUAGAACAAUGGAAGUAGAACCGUAUCCAAAAAUAGCCUCUUCAUCUCGACAAAAUAGAAGUCUCUCUCAGAUGCAUGAUAAAAGUAGAUCUCAAAAGUCCUAUGACUCUUUGGAGUAGAGUUUUACUGAGCAAGUUUCGCAUGAAUUAGGCUUUGCACAUAAAAUGUCUAACUGCACCAUCAAGUGUAUACAAACAGUGAGCUAUACUUUUCUUGACAAUGGACAAUUGUUGGAUACUACAAAAGCCAAAUGAGGGGUUGAGACAAGGGAUCCUAUGUCCGCGGACAUAUUCUGGUUGGGUAUGGAGUAUCUUAAUAGGUGCCAAAAGGGAUUGAAAAAUCAAACUAUUUUUGCCUAUCAUUGUAUAUGUAAGAAACAGAUUAUUACUCACCUAUGUUUUGGAAUAACUUAGUACUAUUUGCUAGAUGUGAUCUAAGUUCAGUCUUAUGCCUAAAGAAAUGAUUUCGCAUGUUCUCUACAGCUUCAGGUUUGAAAGCUAAUAUGGCUAAAAGUCAAGUAUUAACUCAAAGUUAGCAUUUUGAUAAUGAGAAAUUUGUUAAUUUAAUUGUGUUUAAUUGAGAUUGGUUGACAUGUGUUAUCCAUGUUGUUUUAGUAGAAAAAUACUUUAGCUGCGCGGACUCUUCACUUUUGAUACCGCACUCGUGUCGGAUUCUCCAGACACACUAGCUUUGAUGAAUCCAACAUGCAUCCGUUGGUAUUUUUUGAAGACUCCAGGCAACAUAAAUUAUAACGCAGAACAUUUUCAGUAUGACUAUCCUAAAAUUCACUUUCUCGAUGAUUAGAAAAAUUGGUGCAAUUAGGAAGCUUUGGCAAAAGUUGGGAAAUAUGACUCAGAUAGUGAUCAAAAAAAAGUUCCUAACAGCUAAAGCUUACAAGAAAAUCAAAAGUAAAGUUGAUAAUAGUCCAUGUACUAAACUAAUUUUCCAUGAUAAUGUAGAACCUAAGAAUGUAUUUAUGUUAUGUGAGUAUGCAUGGUAAGAUCAAGACUCAGGACAAACUUUUCCAGUAGAGCAUCAAUUUGGAUACCGCUUGUGUUUUCCACCAGACACAUCUUGAAACCAGAAAUUAUUUAUUCUUUCAAUGUGUUGUGACUGGUAGACUUUGAAAUAUUAUAUAGCUGUGGCAGGCUGGAAAGAUUGACACACAGGAGAGGUGAUUUUGAAAGCUAACCUAACAAUAAUUAUGCAUGCUAUCUGGAUAGAGAGAAGUACAAGGAUUUUUUAAUUUUUCAGAAAACAAAGACUGAAUUGGAGAAGCUAAUUCGACGACUUAAAUCAACGCUAUGCAUUACACUUUGAACCAGUCCUAAAUUCUUUGAUUGUAUUGACAAACUUUGAGGUUGUUGGUGAGAGGCUCUUCCAGGGAUGAAUAAUAAACCAAGAAAAUUGUCUUCUGGAGUAUUGAUGCAUGAGAAGUAACUAAAUUUGAUGUGAGAUUUGUUUUAUUCUCUUACUGUAGACACGUAAUUUUGUCCCUCCGAAAUUCAAUUUUAUUCAUUUUUAGCUCACACUUUACUACGCACCCUCACCCGUACGAAAAUCCCUCCACAAAAUAACAAAACAAUAACCUCUAACUAAUUUUAUCUUAUCCUAACAACCUACCCAAUCAAAAUAAACCAUCCCUACCCCACGUCACCACCCUUACACAUUUUUAUUUUUCUUUGUCUUUUCCAUAACAAAUUCACACCAUGGAACCCACACUAUAUGGACACAUACACAAUUCCAAAAAGGAGAAAAAUGGAAACAAUGCACACAAUUCUUUAGGAGGACCCCACAACAAUAUUCAUUCACUAACCAUUGUCCAUUUUUAGAGAAUAUAUAUACAAUACAUAGACAACAAAAAAUAGGGGGAGCAACAGAUCUCACCCCUAGGCAGCCCACCCCCUCCCUCACGUUUUUUAUUCUUUUUGACCAUAUACACACUAUUAAAGAGGGGGAGGCCAUUUUUUUUCUUUUCUUCUUUACUGACCUCACAAAUCAAGAUACACAAUAAACACACAGUAAAACAAAGAUACUCAAUGCCCUCACUGAUUCAACACCAUAAACACGACAGCAACUAUUGACGAUCUUCUAUUUUUCUUCUUCACGAAUACACACUCACCCACAGCUAAUUCACAAACAUAAUCAAAACACACACUGCUACACGUAAACACGCACAUAGUGAAUCAAAAAGCUGGUCGGAGUGAGCAAAACAGGGAUCGGGGAGGGAGAAAUCUAUUUGUUGUCGAGAAUUUCUGGCGAAAUUUCUGCUGGAACUGGUGACCAGUCCAUAUAUUCGACGUACCCAACUCCGAAAUCCUCUAAUUUCUUCAUUUUUUUGGGUUUUAAGAGAAUCUGAUCCUUUCUUAUCUAUCUUAGCGACUCGUUUCCGAAAUCGAGCUUCGGAUUCUUCAAUUUUCUUGUGAUUUAUUUUGGGUUGCUUGAGGAUUCCUUCUUGGAUUGUAUUUCGUGAAUAUUCCGUGGUUCGAGUUUGUUUGACAGUCGGGUGUGGUAUUCUUCGAGGUUUCGGACAGCUUUGUUAUUUUCCUAAUUCAUUUGGAAAUGCUCCAAAGGUGCCACUUCGAGGUUAACAUCACGGAUGGCAGUAAUACAAUCAUGGUAAAGAUCUCAGAAAUGUUGGGUGAAAGAAUCUUAUCCUUAACCGCCGAACAAAUAUACGAAUGUGUUACUGUCCAGCAACAAUCGCUAUCUAUUGCCCGCCUAAACCAGCUGCUCGCUUAUAAACUAUUCAAGCUCUAACUACAAAAGCCAUUAUUCAGAUUUCCUGAUCAAACAACUGGUAUGCUAGCUACCACCUCCUUCACUGAAAUCCCAAUUUCUCUCGGAGAGGCAGAUAAGAGGCAGAAAAUCAAUCCACCCACCCUAGCGAAAAAAAUUAAAGGUACCAAUACUUUUAAAAUUGAAUUUCCUACUGUGGGAUAGUUAUUAAACGACUUUGGCUUAAUUAUAAGGCGUUUGACAUUAAUUGAAUUCAUUAUUUCUUAACACUUAUGUUUUUAGAAUCUUAGCCUUAAAGAUGGAUUCCUCAAAUAUGAUUUUAGUUGGUGUGACUUUCACUGUCGAAGAUUUUUACUGUGCACUUGAAAACUAUGACCUUCAGUCAGUCAUAGGUAACAACAUUAUCUCAUAUUGUUGUAUAUAGUUUCUGUAGUUACAAAUUUAUUUUUCAUAUGAUUUCGCACUAUGAGGUUGCUGUUAUAUGGCUUAAUUAUGUGUAUCGGUAAUUUUUUUGUGCUUGUGAAUUGUAUUCAGAUAAGUUAAAUGUUGUAAGUUCAACAGCUAUAACAUAUACAUUACAAAAAAUGUGAUCUACUUUGAACUAUUCUACGCAAGUGAAAUUUUUUUAAAAUAUCUUUAAUAGCAGAAAAUUGACAUUUUGUUUCCAACAUUCACAGCAUCUCAAUCUCACCAGGUGACUACAACUACAUUUUGGUGGCCUCUACCAUUAUAGCAUAUACAAACGAAUUUUGCUUCGCUAUACCAACAUCACAGUGUCAGACUACAUAAACAAAGUUUUUGCAUUUUGAUGCAACAUCACACUUUAAUGUAUGAAACUUGCAUGUUAAUAGUUUGUUUUUGCGCUUUGAUGUAACAAUCACAGUUUAAAUGUACGAAACUUGCAUGUUAAUAGUACGCCUCCCUUCCAGCAACAAAAAUUAUAAAACUCAUAAUUAUUGUUGGGCUCAUGCUUG
Molecule: RNA transcript, 5628 nt
Organism: Capsicum annuum
Lineage: Eukaryota; Viridiplantae; Streptophyta; Magnoliopsida; Solanales; Solanaceae
Exons: 7
Source: RefSeq, a predicted model, not a curated record